AUUGAACGCUGGCGGCAUGCCUUACACAUGCAAGUCGAACGGCAGCACGGGGGCAACCCUGGUGGCGAGUGGCGAACGGGUGAGUAAUGCAUCGGAACGUGCCCAGUAGUGGGGGAUAACUAGUCGAAAGAUUAGCCUAAUACCGCAUACGACCUAUGGGUGAAAGCGGGGGAUUCGCAAGAAACCUUCGCGCUAUCGGAGCGGCCGAUGUCUGAUUAGCUAGUGGCGGGGUAAAGGCCCACCAAGGCUUCGAUCAGUAGCUGGUCUGAGGGGACGACCAGCCACACUGGGACUGAGACACGGCCCAGACUCCUACGGGAGGCAGCAGUGGGGAAUUUGGACAAUGGGCGCAAGCCUGAUCCAGCCAUGCCGCGUGCGGGAAGAAGGCCU
Molecule: ribosomal RNA, 390 nt
Filed under: uncultured bacterium
Lineage: Bacteria
Description: bacterial SSU rRNA
Rfam family: Bacterial small subunit ribosomal RNA
Source: RNAcentral